GACGAACGCUGGCGGCGUGCUUAACACAUGCAAGUCGAACGGAAAGGCCCUGCUUUUGUGGGGUGCUCGAGUGGCGAACGGGUGCGUAACACGUGAGUAACCUGCCCUUGACUUUGGGAUAACUUCAGGAAACUGGGGCUAAUACCGUAUAGGAGCUCCUGCUGCAUGGUGGGGGUUGGAUAGUUUCGGCGGUUGGGGAUGGACUCGCGGCUUAUCAGCUUGUUGGUGGGGUAGUGGCUUACCAAGGCUUUGACGGGUAGCCGGCCUGAGAGGGUGACCGGCCACAAUGGGACUGAGAGACGGCGCAGACUCCUACGGGAGGCAGCAGUGGGGAAUAUUGCACAAUGGGCGGAAGCCUGAUGCAGCAACGCCGCGUGCGGGAUGACGGCCUUCGGGUUGUAAACCGCUUUCGCCUGUGACGAAGCGUGAGUGACGGUAAUGGGUAAAGAAGCACCGGCUAACUACGUG
Molecule: ribosomal RNA, 468 nt
Filed under: uncultured bacterium
Lineage: Bacteria
Description: partial 16S ribosomal RNA
Rfam family: Bacterial small subunit ribosomal RNA
Source: RNAcentral